CUGGCUCAGGAUGAACGCUAGCGGCAGGCUAACACAUGCAAGUCGAGGGGCAUCGGGAGUAGCAAUACUUGCCGGCGACCGGCGCAAGGGUGCGUAACGCGUGAGCAACAUGCCCGUAUCAGGGGGAUAAUCCAUGGAAACGUGGUCUAAUACCCCAUAGUAAUUAUGUAAGGCAUCUUAUAUAAUUUAAAGCUUUGGUGGAUACGGAUUGGCUCGCGUGACAUUAGCUGGAUGGUAAGGUAACGGCUUACCAUGGCUACGAUGUCUGGGGGUUCUGAGAGGAAGGUCCCCCCACACUGGAACUGAGACACGGUCCAGACUCCUACGGGAGGCAGCAGUGAGGAAUAUUGGACAAUGGAUGAAAUCUGAUCCAGCCAUGCCGCGUGCAGGAAAGACGGCCCUAUGGGUUGUAAACUGCUUUUGUAUGGGAGCAAUAAGGGCUACGUGUAGUCCGAUGAGAGUACCAUACGAAUAAGCACCGGCUAACUCCGUGCCAGCAGCCGC
RNAcentral lists this ribosomal RNA (504 nucleotides) under uncultured bacterium. Its description in RNAcentral is "bacterial SSU rRNA". It matches the Rfam family "Bacterial small subunit ribosomal RNA", at positions 19 to 518 of the family's 1533-position model. The record is from RNAcentral.